This 5302-nucleotide long non-coding RNA is filed under the name Solanum tuberosum (potato). RNAcentral describes it as "long non-coding RNA (STUB_LNC009313)". The record is from RNAcentral. Lineage: Eukaryota; Viridiplantae; Streptophyta; Magnoliopsida; Solanales; Solanaceae.
ACCGCUCUUCCUCUCGCCGCCCAGCUGCCGCUCCACCGGUGAACCACUUUGAAGACAAGAGCACUGCCGAUGAUAGUUUCUUACAAAUUGAUUCGGGUAUUGUCUUUCCAAUAUCUUCUCCAUCCAUUCUUUAUUAGAAUUUCUGAAAACAAUUGCAGGAAUUUGCUUUCAAUUAAUCCUUAAUUCUUAUUAUUCUUUGUUGUAGCUUGUUCAGUAUUAUGCGAUAAAUUGAUUUUGCAUCGUAUUAAUUAUGAAUCCAGCCCUGUGAUUUUGAUUACUCUGUCAUGACAUGAUUAAUUAUAAUCCCCAAAUCAAGUGAUACUUUCCCUCUUCAUGUGAUCUCAUGACAGUAUACCUAUGUGGUAAUUGUAGCAAUCUCCUUCUUUCAUUUCUUAAAGCUUGAUUCAUGAUAGAUAUGGUGACUUGAGACAGCCUCGGGUUUAGUAAUUGUUCAAGGUAAACUUUGAUGUUGGCACAUUUGAAUAAUUGCCUCCUUUUCCAUUGUUAACUGAUUUCCUCUCUUUAUUUAGACUGGAACUACUUUAGUACUCUUGGAUUUAUGAAAAGUUUGCCAAGGUCAAUUUGCUUUCCUUCUCUUCUGCUUCAUUUAACUUUGACAACCUCUAGCUUUGGUGUUUUUGGUAAAGAUCGAAUGAUUUUAUGCUCAGUUGAUUCAUAAUCUCUUAUUUGUUUCCUCCACGGAUAUCUUGAUGAAUUGACUCUUAUGAUAAGUUCGAACUUGUCGAAGUUUUUCUUUAUUCUUACAAUGAAUUCCGGCCUGAGUUUACUCAGCAGCUCCUUUGUACUUGGUCUUAUAUUUUGGAAAAUCUGAUUCGGUUGUCGAAGAUAAGGCUUUCCUAGAUUAGUGUUGUGAAUUAUUUUUGCAGUUUUCUCUUCUUGAUUGGUUACUACUUGUAUGCUAAAUAAACAGCUCCUCUCCUCUCUACUUGGCAAGGACUGAUCAAACGCUCUUUCUCUCCAAAAUGAAAUGAUAAAUCUCUUGAUCUCUCCUCCUCAUCUCUACAAUAAGUCUAAACACCGAAAGUUCCUUCCCUUUUGCUCAUUUUUCUCUCCUCUCUAUUUCUCAUAUUACUCUAAGGCUUUCAUAUUGUGGUGCUGUUGAAGCGGCUCGGUUUUGUCUCUCUUAUAAUUAAUUGCCAUAUCACUGGUUAGUUCUCUUAACAUUGCAUUUGAUACUUACGUGAUACCUUUGUAUAUCUUUAAUUUUGUAUCAGCGUUGUGGAUGGCGGUUGCCUCGUCAGCAAUGGCGAAAGGUGAGACGAGGCGACCCUUCAUCGCUUUUGUGGCGAGACGAUCUUCAAAAAGCGAUGCCAUGUCGACAAUGGCGAGAAAGGUGAGAGGCAAGAAAGGCGUCGCCUUUUGUGUUUUCUUUAAAAAGGUGACCAAUUUAUGAUUUUAAAAGUUAAAAGGUAAUUUUAGGGUUUUCGACUAGACUCUUCGGGCGACCAACCAGACUUUUCCAGCGAUUCCAAAGUCCAACCAAUACAUAUUUCUUCUCCUUCAAAUCUCCUCCUCCUCCUCAUGGAUGAACUAAAAAGGAUGGAUUGCUCUUCUAAAGUAACUUGGAGAAUCUUAUCUUCCCUUCUUCUUCAAACCUGUCCAAUAACUCCUAACAGUUCAUCACUUUUUCUUCGGUUUUUUGAAUCUUGUUGACAUGGAUAUGUGAUUCUAUUUUGCUAGUUGCAUCGGUAGGUGCUUUCAACAUCGAAACUCAUCAAAUGAUCCCCUAAAAUUGCAGCAACAUCAGUUGAUGGCAAACCCUUGCCCAGGCAUUACUGAUUUGACACUUCUAGGAAAAAAAAUAGGAGUUGCAGGGCUCUAUUUGUUGUGCAUAGGAAGAGAAGUGACCCUCUUUUCCUCUUCAUCUACUAUAUCUGCCCAUCUCAAAGCACGUGUCACAUCUUGUUGUUUCUUAUUAGAAAUAACCAUUUCAUUUUUAACUAGCGUUCGACCAUAGAUUUCCAAAUAUUUUUAGCAAAUAUUAUUUGGGUGAAAUUUCAAUGUGUUUGGCCAUAGUAUUUGGGAAACAUAUUUCAAUUUUUAAAGAAAUAUGAUCUAUACCCAUAAAUUUUAAAAACAAUCAAAACCAACCAUAUGUUUGUAUUACACAGCAAGAUAGAAACGUCGAUGUAAUAAGGUUCAUGACUUCCGCAACAAGUCAAUUGGAUCUUCGUUGCAGCAAAUAACAAAUAGUGUCCAUGACACUGGAGUAAUGUGGUAGUUAUGAGUGAGUGCAACAAGCAUUAUUCCAUACAUGGUGAAGUAAACGAAACACAUGACUUUGUUACUCUGAGGCGAUUGUUCGUCAUUUUCAUCAACACAUCAUCACUUUCAUAUUCACUAAUAUGUCAUCGUCACUUUGGUGUUCACAAAAAAAAAUUAUGCAAUACAUCGCAAACAACUACCAUAGCGGGUGUUUUUGUAAAAAAUAAAAGUUUGGUGUAUAAUUUGAAAUUUUAAAGCUCCCAAAUAGUGAGAUUUGACUCAAAUACUAGUUUUUUCUAGUAUUUGGAAAUUUGGGGUUAUUUACCAAAAAGUUUGCCAAAUAGUGGCAAAUUGUAUGGACAAACACUUUGUCAAUUUUCUUCCCAAAUUUUACUUGGGAAAUCUAUGGCCAAACGGGUUAGAGUUAGUUGGAGAAAUUGAGAUCUUACCUUUCUCAACAUUUUGGUCAUUCCUUGUAGACAUUGGCUGCUGCCUCGAAUACCCAUGAUGCUCACCCAACAAUUCCAAUGAUUAGGAAGGAAUCUCUUGUACUGAGGCAUUUAAAUUUACAAGUGGUAGAUUGUUCACUGAUUAACCAUAGUAGCAAACUGACUUUCGUUUAAAGUGUUAAUUACUUCUUGAGACACGGAACCUCCUUUGGAACAAUUGCUCGAGCACUUGAGUUCAUAGUUUGACUGCCUACAAUUUGGUGCAUUGUGUUACGAAUUGGUGAACCAAUUCUAACACCCGAAGAGUCUUUCUUUGUCACCACAGUUCAAUUUGAAUGAUGUACUAAUUUCCCUUCAGUCACAUUGUUAGAUUGAUGCACUUGUUGCCCAUAAUUUUUGAUAAAUAGUGCCGCAAUUAAAGCUUGAUUAAUUAUGUAGCAUCAGUCAAACUAGUGUGCUCUUCGCCUACACUUUCACCCGGCUUAGCAGCAACCGUAGCCAAUUGAUCCCUUUGACCAUCACCUAUUUAUUGAACCUGUGCAUUCCCAGAUUUUGAUACACAAUUUGCAUCUUCAGUAAGCUCGUGUUUUGCACAUCCCCAACACAUGUAGGAUCAACAACAUUUAAAUUAGAAUUGCUGCACAAUUUUUUCACUCACUUGGACCACCAAUCACGCUCAUCAUCAUCCCAUUAACAACUCUGUUUCCAACAUUUAUUUGUGGCAAAAAAUUCCUUUGUUGGUUAGGACUAGAAACGUUAUUUUCGCCAACAAACUUUUCAGCUUGUGAAUGACAUGUAGCUUCAAGUUUUUCAUUACCAGCCCUGGUAGCUUUAGCUACUGGUAUUAACACAAAGCUAAAGUUACAACACAAUCAGAUUGUGAGACAUCCCUAAUCACACCAUCUAGUUGUUGUUGAGGAUAUUUUUGCACCAAAUUAUUAGCUUGAUGAUCAUUAUUACCAACUUGUAUGAUUUCAUUACCACCAACUCACUUUGCAUCUAAUAUCUCCCUCGCAUCACCUUGAUAUUUUUCAAUAUAAGUUCCAUAUGUCAAUGCUUUUUCUGGAGUUUUUGUUGCAUUCUUUAUCAAUAGCAAUCUACAUCCGCUUUCGUCAUGGCCUUGGUGCUUACAGAAGGUACAAUAACAUGGCAAUUAUCAUACACAAACUUUUGAAAGUGAUUCAUAAUUUUUCCAAAUUUCUCAUCGACAUAUUGAAGUUUCAUUCGUUGUGGAAGCUUAGCCAAUAAAUCCAUUCUGACUUUAACCCUUGUUGUGCUAGGCCUCGACUUCUCUUGGGUGGCUUUAUCAAUAGCAAUUGGCUUACCCACUGUCGACAUAAUGGACAGUAACAACUGUUUUGCAAUUAAGUCUAGCGGUAAAUUCGAAAAGAUAUUCAAACAAAAGCUUUUGAGGUUUCUUAUCUAGGAUUGAGACCAACUCUCCAUGGAAAGACUCCGAAUUGGUGUUGUGUACCAUUGUGUAACAAGUAGUUGACAGAUUUAGCCGCACCUAAAACGUAAUCAUCAUACCUAUCACAUCUAAGCAAUAUAUGUCGAAGUGUGAGCCAUCUGACAAGGCAACGACCUUGACUUCUUAGUUUUGUAGGCAAUAGCUUUCUCAAUUCUUGUAUAUCAAUUUGUUCAUGUGAAAACUUUAUUAGAAGAGCUUGGUGUAAGCCUUCCUCCACUGCAUAUCACUUUAUCUCCUCUAUCAUGAAUUAACGGUAGGUUCCCAUGUUUGUUGUUUUGGGUUCGGUAGUGCUGCAUAAGAAUCUUGAGAAUUAGAAUUAGGGUUCGGCUCUCCCACAGCCAAGGGUUGGGGAGAGGACAAAGAAGCCAUGGAAGGCUUUACUUCACCAUUCAUACAGAGAAGGGAGCAACUAUUUAGGUUUCUUGAUUCGAUUCGUGUUGUGAAUAUUUUAAUGACUUGAAGUGAAUCCUAAGUGUAUAAGAUGGAAUUUUGCUCUCUUUGUGGACUUGAAAAAUGAUUGAUAAAGAAGUUUGAGCUAAUACUAUAAUAGAUCUUAUAAUAAAUUUUAGUGAAAAAACGCAAAAAAACGAUAAGAGUAUAGUAAGAAUAUUAGAGACAAUAGAAAUAACUCAAAAUAAACAUAAAAAGAUAUUAGAAAGGGUAGAACAAAAUCUUGAUUUCUUAAAAUCACAAGAAUUAGAACUAGAUAGAAAAAUCCAAUAUUUAAACAAUAAGUUUAAUAUAGAACAAAUACCUAUCAAAGUAGAAAUAGGAAGGUUAAUAAAAACCAUAACAGAAAAGCCUAAAGCAUUAGAACUAAGAACAACUAAAUUAGUUGAAAAAAUUAUAACGCAAGUAGAAAUAGUAACCACUGAAGUUAUUGAGUUAAAAAAGACAAUAAAACAACUAGAAGAUAAACUCCUUUCAUGAACGAUCUAUGCCAAGAACCAUCCUAUACAAAAGCCUUAAAUUUUACAGGAAGUAUCCAACCAGAUCCGCAAGGAUUGUCUGACCACCAACCUUCAAGUAAAUCAGAUCAAAUAAUUAUUAAACAAAAUAACACUAAUAGUAUUACUGAUAGAAUUAAAUAAAAAAUUAGAUAAAAUAAUUAAAGAAAAAGAAGUUAUAAAAGAACAACCUAAAAAUACUGACAUAG